Molecule: long non-coding RNA, 375 nt
Filed under: Brachypodium distachyon (stiff brome)
Lineage: Eukaryota; Viridiplantae; Streptophyta; Magnoliopsida; Poales; Poaceae
Description: long non-coding RNA (BDIS_LNC003765)
Source: RNAcentral
UUCAUUAAAAUGUACAUGCGGUUUCAGUUUGAUGCGCACCCAGUAAAGCUACUAAAAUUAAAGGCAUUAUAACUAAGCACCAUUUAGGGAUAGAAUUUUUAUUUUAUUUUUGUACCGACGCAAAUGCAAUUUUCCAAUUAGAGCAUAUAAGCUCGAUCAACCAUUUUUUUCGUGUGUUAUUUAGAUACUUCACUACAUACAGCUGUAAAAGAUCGAUGGUUUCUCAGACGGAUAUCUAGCAGAAUCAGCAAACGGCCGGAUCCUCGAUCGUGUCGUCACUGUCCAUGGAGCAAGGACCGCACGAUCUCAAAGACAAAGGACAAGGCCAACACGAGGAGCGUCGGAAACGCCAUGACCAAUGACCACACCGCCACU